This 20-nucleotide microRNA is filed under the name Spodoptera frugiperda (fall armyworm). Its description in RNAcentral is "sfr-miR-10508a-5p". The record is from miRBase by way of RNAcentral. Lineage: Eukaryota; Metazoa; Arthropoda; Insecta; Lepidoptera; Noctuidae.
AAACUCGAGUCGUCAGUAGC